This 76-nucleotide transfer RNA is filed under the name Acidobacteriota bacterium. RNAcentral describes it as "tRNA-Ile". It matches the Rfam family "tRNA". From Rfam's summary of the family: Transfer RNA (tRNA) molecules are approximately 80 nucleotides in length. Lineage: Bacteria; Pseudomonadati; Acidobacteriota. The record is from RNAcentral.
GGGCCCAUAGCUCAACGGUCAGAGCAGAGCACUCAUAAUGCUUUGGUUCCAGGUUCGAAUCCUGGUGGGCCCACCA